AUUGCAGCAUGAGAAUCCCUCAGGCAUGCAGGCUGCGAAUUUGAUAAUCUGUAUGUUACACAGUACAAAAGUUUGCUGGCUAAAUAUCGCGAACCCUUCUAACGUGAGGCUGACAGUGUCCUGGGUCCAAUGAACAAGAAAAUCUACUGUAACAUGUUGUCAGUGGGAAAGCACUUAAGUUCACAGAAAAGCCUUGGAGGGUCCUGGAAUGAUUGUCACUAUACUGGAUGGACUGCUGAACUAUUGAAUUACUUCCAUCUUUUAACCACACUAGGAAAUCAUCCAAGGAGUUGAAAUAUUUAUUGCAGUAAUUUCUGACCUUACAUACUUGAGGUAAGGUAUACUUUUCCCCCCAUACAACUAUCAUGAAGUUAUCAUGUCUGUCUUCUUUAACUUUGCUUUUUAAGAGACAUUAAUCUACUCUUUUCCUCUACCUUUGAUGCUCUAAUAAUCCCUUCAGAGUGCUCUUAAUCUGAAAAUAUAUGAGUGCAGGAAAGACUCUUAGGUCAUGAAAUAUGAGCAAGCUGUUUGACUCUUGAAGAAUAAAGGGGAAAAUGCAUUACUCUUCAGAUUAAAUCAAUAAAAGUACCCCAUUUCCUUAAACACAAUGUGCACAGACUGGAUUAUAGUAGAGAAACUUAAUAGGUUGAAAGGAGUAUUUAUUAUUAAAGCUACUUGAAAAAAUGAAGAUACUUAAAUUUUAAUAUAUUGCUGGCUUUAUUCAAAUAAAGAAAAUUUAGAAAAUAAAGAAAAUUUGAAAGAAAAAAUCUGUUAUUCCACUUUCAGAGAUAACCAGUAUUAAAAUUUUGCUAUAUAAUUGUAAUAUUUGUUUUACAGAUAUUUGUAAUGGGGUGUGCGUGUGUUGUUUGUGUUAACUUGCUAGAUUUUUGCAAACAAGAAACAUUUAUGAUGUGCUUGUUCCUUGCCAGACUCUGUACCAAGCACUUUACAUACACUAAUUUACUAAUUCUCACAGUCCUGUGAGGUUGGUGCUUUUCUUAUCCCCAUCUGUACAUAAGAAAAUUGAAGCUCAGAAAAAUUAAAUAUCUCACCCAGGCUCAUCAGCUGGUAAACCCACUCAAAACUUGAACCAGUCCCAUGCCAAAGCCCAUACCAAUAAGUUUUUUUUGGCCGCACCCUCGGCCUGAGGAAAUUCCUGGACCAGGGGUGAACCUGAGCCACAGCCGUCACAACAACAGAUCCUUAACCUGUUGAGCCACGCGGGAACUCCCAGUAGGCUUUUUAACAUACAUCUUUUCCUUGACAAAGCACUUACUCCUUUUUUCCUGCAGCAUCAUUUAUAAUAAAUGCGUGGUAUUCAUUUAUAUGGGUAUACAGUGGUUUCUCUACACUGUCUCUUUAUUUUGUUGGGCAUUUAUCGGUUUUUAUUUUAGUUUUAGAAACAACAUUGUAAUAACAUCUUUCGUGCACACCUGUGAUUAUCUCCCUAGGGUGGUUUGCUGCAUGUGGCAAUGCUGAGUCAGCCACAGUAGGGGAAUGUCUCCUUCAAGUUUUUGAUGCACUCUGCUAAUUGCCUUCUCAAAAGGUUGUGCCAGUUGAUAUUCCCACUAGCAAUAUAUAGAAAUGCCUGAUGACCUUAAGCCUUCAGUGUUAGGAGUUGGCAAAUGGAUACUUUUUUUGGUCUUUUAAAAAGAUUCCAGGUGUCCUUUAUCACGUCCAUCUUCUUGCCUCUAAUCCUUAGAGCCACAGCCUCUGACCGGUUUCUCUCUCUCCACUGUAGACAUCACUUUGUCACUAAAGGAAUUGAAGGACAGUGGGUAAGAGCAUGGGCUCUUGAGCUAGAUGCCUGUGUUCAAUUAUGGCAGUGCUGCUCUGCCUCAGUUUCCCCAUCAUUAAAAUGGAAAUAAUAAUAAAGCCUUUCCUGUAGAUGGUGCUAGGUGAUAGUUGAUGUAACGUAUUUUAGAACAAAUGCAUGAUGUGCUUAAUAAUUAUUGGCUACUUCUAUUGUCUUCCAGAAGUCCAUGCUCAUAUAAUUAAAAAACCUUAGGUUAUAUGCAGUUGAGCCUUGAACAACAUGGGUUUGAACUGCACCAGUCCACUUAUACACAGAUUGUUUUCAAUAGUAAAUAGUACAUUUCUACACCACCUGUGCCUGUUUCAAUCUGUGGACACAGAACCCUGGAUACUGGCCAACUAUAGAUUUUCAACUGCAUAGAAGGUUGGUACCCCUCACUUCCCCAGAGUUCAAGGGUCAACUGUACUUAUAAAUUAAAUCUGAUUAAUUCCAAAUUAGUAAUUCACAGAAGAAACUACUGGUGCUGACACUGUGAUCUGACAUGUUAACAGCCUGAAGGUCAUGAACAACCUUCCCCGCCUCAUUUGGUGCUGUGAGGUCAGGAUACUGAGGGGAGAGUAGAAACAGGAAUAAUUAGAAUGUUAAAGUAUUUCGUAGCCUCACAGAGCACUCUCACACACAUUAUCUCACUUGAUCCUAACAGUAGAGCUAUGAGGGAGGUGGAGCAGAUAUUAUUAACCUCGUUUCAUGGAGGAGGAAAUUCACUUGGAAUGAAGUGACUUGUUCCCUGAAAGUCGUGGACCUGGUCAGUGGAGAGCUGUGUAGUCUAGACCUUCUGAGUACAAAUCCUUGCUCUUGAUGCUUCAUGACAUAAUGAUAGGCACAGGUAUAGAUACCCAGGUGUGGAAAGGAAGGUACAGGUAGGAGCAAAGAGGGUUCUGUCUGGGAGAAGGCAGCAGAGUUGGGAUAAGAACUUGGACAUAUUGACAGGAAGGCAGGGACCCAGUGGGGAGGUGGCUAGAAGGGAAGAGGGAGUGAGAUCAGAAAGAGAGGGGCAACUGAAGGGUCCAGGACUGUAGAACCCAUAGGGCUGGCUGAGGAGAUGGAGAGAGGGUGCUCCAUCUUUGCAUCGAGGGGAGAGGAGGAAAGGAAGUUAAGGGUAACAUUAGGAAAGGGAAAUCCCUAUGUUGCCUGUGGAAUGAAAAGAAAUCACACUCUACAAUAAUCAUCUUGUUUCCAAAUACCACAGUGGCUGCCAGGCUGUGCUCUAGUCCUGGGUUACCCUUGCUCAGAAGUUAAGGCCACAGUGAUAACAUGUAUACACACUUGUUGGUGGUGUCAGGUGUGUUAAUCGGCGGAGAAACAAGAAGCACUAGUUCAGUUUUUGGUUCUAGAAACCUUUGUUAAGGACUGUGCUCACCAUCAAAUCAGGUAGGUGAAGUAGGGAGAUUCGAUGGUUUCUUAAUGUGUGAAAUGAGGAGUUAGAUUAGAUAGAUGUCUCCCAAGUAGUCACUUUCUAUCAAGCCAUUUUCUUUUUUUCUUCUUCUUCUUUUUUUUUUUUUUUUUUUUGCUUUAGGAUCAUACCUACGGCAUAUGGAGGUUCCCAGGCUAGGGGUCGAAUCAGAGCUGUAGCUGCCGGUGCAUGCCACAGCCACAGCAACGCUGAAUCCAAGUUGCAUCUGCUUCCUACACCACAGCUCCCAGCAACACUGGAUCCUUAACCCACUGAACAAGGCCAGGGAUUGAACCUGUGUUCUCCUGGAUGCUAGUCAGAUUCAUCAACCACUGAGACAUGAUGGGAACUCCUACCAAACUGUUCUUUUUCAAAUCCAGUCUACGCUGAUCUCCUAUCUAUGACCUCCUUUACACAUCACUGCUAAUAUUCUUCCGGAGGUUUUCCUAUGUUUAUAUGCUUAAAUAAGAUUUUUAAAUAUAAUCUACUUUUUUCAGUUGAUACAUUGUAAACCUCUCCUUGUGUGUCAUUGCUGCAUAAUGAUUAAAGGUAGAUAGUGAGUCUAGUUUAGCAAUGUAUGUACUUAACAAAUCUCCCUCUAGACAUGUAUGUCCAUGCAUAUCCUCUUAACUAUUAUUUUGGGGCUACUCUUAAUUAUUCUUAUUAUAAAAAUCAGAAAGAGGUUUUCAAUCUGUAUUACUUGAAAAACAACCAAUUUACAGUCCCCCUGACAGUAUGCAAAUGUUUUCUUUUCCCACACUCUUGACAUUAGAGCAUAGAAUUAAAAAAGGCUGUUCAGUUUUAUGCACAAAUGAACAUUUAUCAUAUGUUUAUAAGCCAUUUGUUUAUCUUCCUUUGUGAAUAUUCUGUUCAUAUUCUUUCCCCAUUUCUCCAAAAGGACAUUUGCUUUUGUUACUGAUUUGCAAGAGUGUUUUUGCUAUAAACUAUCUUGUGUUAUAAAAAUAUUAUAGAUAUUUAUGUCCCUUUCCUUUGAAUUUUGUAGAGUAUUUUUAAAAGUAAGUAAGUAUUUAAUUUUAGGUGGUCGAAUCUUUAUUCUGUUGUUCCACAUGGACUAACUAGGAAGCAGGAAUGCCUUGGUAUUAUUUCCCCCAAAGUCUCUUCUUUACAUAGCAGAGUGAUCUCUUUGAAGUAUAAUCACAAGUUGGCACACCUUUGCCUAAGCCAGUCAUGGCAUCUUCCUUACCACGGCAUGCAAGGCCCAGCACAGUCCGGCUUUGCCUACUCUCCAGCCUCACCUCUGUUCCACAGAACACUAUGUUCCAGCCUCACUGGCUACCUUUCAAUUCAUGGAACAUGUCAACCUCUUUCCUGCUCCCAGGAUUCUGCAGGUGCUUGUUCCUUUGCUUGAACAUGUGCUUGCUCACACACACGCACACAUAUGCUCAUAUGCCCUUCUUAUAACUGGACUCCUUAUUCAGAGAGCCAGUUCCCUAGAGAGAGCUCUGAGCGAGCUGCUUGUGUCCACCUGGCUUCCUUCUUCACUAGCUGUGUGUCCUUGGGCAAGUUACUUCACUUCUUCACCUGUAACAUGGAAACCAACAUUAUAACAAUACCUAAUUUGGGUUGUUGAGAGGAUUGUUCAUGCUUAGUUCUUGGAGCACUAUGCUGUUCACAGAGUACAUGUGAGUGGUGAGCUGUUAUCAUGGUCCUAACCCUUCAGCUUCACCUUAAAUUUCAUCUCAGAGUGCCUUCCUGUCCAACAUUGGUUUUUUCCCUCUAUUAGUGUCUAUCUCAUAAUCCUAGGGUUUUUUUCCCCUUUGAGCAUGUAUGAAUAUGCAAUUAUUAUUAUUUUUUUUCCCUGUUUCCUUCUCUACCUUGUAGGGACAGGGAUUAUGCCUGUGUGGUCUAUAGCUAGGUCGCUAACACUUCGCGCAGUGUUUGUAGAAUGAAUAGCAACAUCUCUAACAAGAUUGCAUAGAAAUCUACCUUUAUUUUCUUAUGGUAGUUUUAUAGCUUUGUUUCACAUUUUAGAAUACUUCAUCUGUAUGAGACAUAGUUGCAAGUAUGAUUUGAGAUAUGAAUAAAAAUUUUUUUCCCAAAUGAGUAGUCAGUUACACUUUUUGUAAUUCUUUUAAAGAGAGCUCCAACCCAAAUUACAGUCCCUUAGGGACUCCGCGGUUGUUUCAGUUUCUUUUGCUUGUUGUUCUCUCCUUGGGUAGUUCUUUUGCAAAACGUAAAUGCAGAAACUGUUCACUGAUUGAGCCACAUUCCUCAUGAUGGUGCUGGUGCAGUACCGGGGAAGAUGUUCCUGGGAUCACCUACCACAGCUGGCUGAGCUUCCAGGAGGAAGGAAGACAUGAUGAGUUUUGUUUCUUUGCUUGGAACAUGGGCUUGUUCACACACACGUGUGUGUGUGUAUGCAUGAACACACAUACAUACACGUGGGGCAAUUCAGGGACUUGUUCUAUUUAUUCAAUAGCUAAUGUUAGGAAACCUGCUAGAAAUUUUGUCAACGAUGCUUUAGAUAUUGUGUCUGCCUUUACGGGUGGGGGGAACUAUUGAAAUCUGAAAACUUCAACUUUUCAAUGACUAAAUUACUUUUCCAUAACUCCCUCUUGCAUUUAAUGAGGGCUGAAAAUGCUUCGUAUAACAUGUAUUCUGAUUUUUGGUUUGGGAAAAUUAAUCAUCAUUCUUCUCCAUAUUUUAGCUUUUAAAUUAAUUACAAAAAUAAUACAUCCAUUUUCACAUAUUCAUGUCAUGAAACAUGUAUACAGAAAAGAUUGACUCUUGCAUCCCACUCUUCUGAUCCUAUACCUUAAAACAACCACCAUUGACUUUAUUGUAUAUCCUUUCAGAUUUCUUUAUGUUUAAUAAUUAUAUUAGCCUUUUUCGCCCCACCCUCCCAACACACUCAAAUAUUUGAAUGCUUUUUCCAAAUGGUGUUUUAAACUCACUUGCUUAUACCCAUCAGUGGGCUUUAAAGAACACUUGAAGCCUUUGUUUUCUGGCUGGCAGCAUCUUAGAGAAGUUACUGGUUGAUAUUUUCCCAGGACUUUGAACAUCAAGCCCUGCUUAGUUUGUGGGAAUCACUUAAUGUAAUCUUCCAGAGGGCAGGGGCUCGGGCACAUUCAGGAAUAAUGAUUUCCAUCUCACUACAGAAGAAAGAAUGGGAACUUAUAAGGGAAGCAUCAGAGUAGGAAAGGAGAAAAUCCUUCCAAGUUCAUGAGGGUGAACAUUUUAGUGAAGUGUUUCACUGGGUUAUAUAUAACAAGUAGUUUGAUUUCCAGGGAAACAGGGUGGUAGAUGGGGUACUAUCAGGUUACAGAAUUUUUUGCAACUUUCUCUCUGUCUCCUGUCAUUCUCUUUUGCCCUUUUUUUUUUUUUUUUUUUGGUCCAUGAGAAUAGAAGAUAAAUUUGAAAUGUGGGGUGGACUAAGGUGCAAAGCAGAGUGACUCACCAGGUUCUGCCCUUCACACUGGCAUUCGAGAGCAUGCCAUUCACUGCCCCAGGUUCUGAUCUAUGGCACUGCAAUCCAGAGAACUGUAAGGGUUUCUGAAAGUGAUGGGGGCUCUGGACUUAUGCAGAAUUGCACCCAUCGGGGUUUUUCUGCAGUGCCCACCUUAUUACACUAGAGAGGCAAGUUUCAUUGCUUAAGGGGACAAUUUAUGGCAAUGGGCUUAUCUCCUUGUUUUAGCUCUUUAUGUUUUUCUGCCUCUUAAUAAAAUGUGAAGUCACAAAGCAAUUAAAUCGUAGUGUAGUUUUCUGGCAGGAGUUGGAGAAAGGCUAACCAGGGGGAAAGGCUAAAAUGAUUGACAGAGGCUGACUGGAGAUUUACAUUGAGAAUAACUCGUUCUUCAAAACUUUCUUCAUUUUCUUGUGGGAAUUAUUGGGGUAAAUCAUACCCCAGGAGGAUGGAUGAUUAAAAAUGUAGGAGUUAUGAUUUCUUUUUGACUUUGUAAGUCUCUAAAUCCUCCACCCUAAGAUAGAGUUCUCAUUUCAAGAACUCUUGAUGAAAUGAUAGGAACUAGCCCUGCCAAGGAUUCAAGAGAAGCAGAAUCACUUUAAAAUCUUAAAUUGUUAAUAAGCUUGGAAUUGUGUAUAUUUUAUAAAAGAUCUUAAGAUUCAGUGAAAUGAAGUAGAGCAUUAAGUCAAAUCUACAAGUGUAGAUAUUUUUGAAUAUUCAAAUAUAUUGAAUGGGAUUUUAACUUUUAGUUUCUAGAAUUUUAAAAAUGCCAUCAGCGAUAUUAAUAUUGACAUUUAAAAUGAGGAAAAUUUUGAAAGAAGCGAACAUAAAAAUCUGGAGAAUUAGGAUUCCCUGUCACUCUUAUUCCAGCCUCCUCUAACAUAUAAAAGAAAUUCUUUUGAUUUAGCAACUUUGUAUGGAUGAUGAUCUGUUUAUUCCAAUCAAGAGAAUUAACAAAUAAAGAUAUAAAGUUCUUCAUAUCACUCUUUCUUGUUAUAGAAAUAGUUUAAUUUUAAGAGUUUUGGAAAGCUGCGUUUGAUUUGAGGUUCUCUUGUUUCCCAAUCAUAACAAUGAAAUGGACAAAGGAAAUAGCUUAAAGUAAAAUGCAAUUGUUGGUGCCUAUUGAGAAAGAUUAACUAAGAGUUAGUUUAUGUGACCCAGAAAACAAGUAGCUAAAAGAAUAAUGCUUUUUCUGAUAUGAAUGUCUAUUGCCCUGAAAGCACUCUGAAAGAGAUACCUUCAUGCCUUUUCAGGAGCAUCCCUAAUCCCCAACUUCUCAUUAAAAAAAAAGAACAAGAACCAGGGAGUUCCCUGGUGGCCUAGCACUUAAGCACCUGGCAUUGUCACUGCUGUGGCGCAGGGUCAAUCCCCAACUGUGGGCAUGGCCAAAAAAAAAAAAAAAAAAAAAAAA
This 8044-nucleotide long non-coding RNA is filed under the name Sus scrofa (pig). Its description in RNAcentral is "lncRNA (ENSSSCG00060063365.1)". Lineage: Eukaryota; Metazoa; Chordata; Mammalia; Artiodactyla; Suidae. The record is from RNAcentral.